GGGAAAGAACUACCGGAAUAUGGUUUGUUGUUGGUCUCCCUAAGACUAAGUCUUGGCAGCUGCAGUACUCCUAAUGUUGAGGGGCACGUGAGAACGUGGGCAAGCUUCACCAAUGUUCCUAUUGGAUUAAACACUGGAAAGCAAGAGCAGAAGCCGGAGUUAAGUAACAUCUGAAACUAAAGGACAGAGCUGUGCGUAGUGUGGACUGAAUAGGACCCCAGACAUGAUGGUGCCCUUUCCAGAGAACAGAAGAGUGAGGAUGGUUGUUGCGGCCACCACUCUUCGGAAGACGUAAAAUAUAUAUCGUCAAGAGCGGGCGAGUGUUUCCCAAAGAUCUGUGGCCUUGGAAGACUUCUCCUUAUUUAGAGAUGUUCUCAGAAUCUCCUGUUCCACAAGGAGAACCGUGGCAGGCUUCAGUCAGGUUUCAGCUUCAAGCUUGCCUCGGUCCCUCACACUCACUCCAUCACAAGGCGGCAGCAGCAAGAUCCUGCUGACGUGGUCGCAUUCCAUCAGCUGGAUCCCUGUGGACCAGAGCCAGGGCCAGCUGCAGCGUCCUGGCACUGAAAGACCGCCCCUGGCCCGUGUGAGAAGGUGUGCACAUGUGCCUUAUAGAAUACAAAGUCAGGACACAGUCUUGGAAGAAUUGCUGUUUCAUGCCAUAGUAGAACCAGGGAGUGGUGCAAGAAAAGGGAGCCUAUGACAGAUUGUGACAACAACCUUGAAAUAUUAAGAAUACAGGGCU
Long non-coding RNA from Microtus oregoni (creeping vole), 742 nucleotides. RefSeq lists it as uncharacterized. Lineage: Eukaryota; Metazoa; Chordata; Mammalia; Rodentia; Cricetidae. The transcript has 3 exons. The record is from RefSeq and is a predicted model, not a curated record.